GUGCUCGCUUCAGCAGCACAUAUACUCAAACUGGAACAGUACCUAGAAGAUUAUCAUGAGCCCUGCGCUCAAGGAUGACAUGCAAAUUUGUGAAGCGUUAGAAUAUCUC
Pipistrellus kuhlii (Kuhl's pipistrelle) is the source of this 109-nucleotide small nuclear RNA. Lineage: Eukaryota; Metazoa; Chordata; Mammalia; Chiroptera; Vespertilionidae. The record is from RefSeq and is a predicted model, not a curated record.